UAGUAACGGCGAGUGAAGAGGGAAAAGCUCAAAUUUUGAAUCUGGUGUCUUUGGCGCCCGAGUUGUAAUCUAGAGAAGUGUUUUCUGCCUCGGACCACACAUAAAUUCCCUGGAAUGGGGUGUCAUAGAGGGUGAGAAUCCCGUUUGUGGUGUGGACUACCUUGGCUCUGUGAUACACUCUCAACGAGUCGAGUUGUUUGGGAAUGCAGCUCAAAAUGGGUGGUAAAUUCCAUCUAAAGCUAAAUAUUGGCGAGAGACCGAUAGCGAACAAGUACCGUGAGGGAAAGAUGAAAAGCACUUUGGAAAGAGAGUGAAACAGUACGUGAAAUUGUUGAAAGGGAAGCGUUUGAAGUCAGUCACAUCGGUCGGAAUUCAGCCUGGCUUUGCCUGGUGUACUUUCUGGCAGAUGGGUCAGCGUCAAUUUUGACUGAGGGAAAAAGACUUGAGGAAUGUGGCUGUCUUCGGGCAGUGUUAUAGCCUCUUGUUGUAUGUCUCAGUUGGGAUUGAGGACCGCAGCACGCCUUAUGGCCGGGGUUCGCGCCCUCGGAACGUGCUUAGGA
Molecule: ribosomal RNA, 560 nt
Filed under: uncultured Sebacinales
Lineage: Eukaryota; Fungi; Basidiomycota; Agaricomycetes; Sebacinales
Description: eukaryotic LSU rRNA
Rfam family: Eukaryotic large subunit ribosomal RNA
Source: RNAcentral